CCCCUUUCACAAACGCGUCCAAACCCCUAUAUUCGUUCUGCCGGUUCGCGCCGGCUAUGGCGAUAAACGAACAUCGAAAUAAACCAUCCGGACCCGGGGGCGGUACCCGGCGCCUCCACCACAGCGCGUCACGGCGCGCUGUGGCGGGGGCGAAAUAGGAUCGACGGGGGCGUAAAGGGUGCUUUUUCGCUCGGCAUGAUACCGCCGUUAUCGGGUCAAACCUUAUAGUUGCCAACGACAACUAUGCUCCGGUGGCCGUCGCCGCGUAAUGCGGCGCCCAAACUGGGAUCAAAGCCCUAGGGGUUAGCACUUCUAGGCGGGGCUCGGAGGCGCCUGGCAACAGAAGCCUCCACU
RNAcentral lists this transfer-messenger RNA (354 nucleotides) under Methylocystis sp. Sn-Cys. It matches the Rfam family "Alphaproteobacteria transfer-messenger RNA". Rfam says of the family: Bacterial tmRNA, also known as 10Sa RNA or SsrA, is named for its dual tRNA and mRNA-like properties. Its role is to liberate the mRNA from a stalled ribosome. To accomplish this part of the tmRNA is used as a reading frame that ends in a translation stop signal. Lineage: Bacteria; Pseudomonadati; Pseudomonadota; Alphaproteobacteria; Hyphomicrobiales; Methylocystaceae. The record is from RNAcentral.